RNAcentral lists this ribosomal RNA (622 nucleotides) under bacterium 87-L049659-122-016-G11. RNAcentral's name for it is "bacterial SSU rRNA". It matches the Rfam family "Bacterial small subunit ribosomal RNA", at positions 56 to 666 of the family's 1533-position model. The record is from RNAcentral.
UGCAGUCGAACGGCAGCACAGUAAGAGCUUGCUCUUAUGGGUGGCGAGUGGCGGACGGGUGAGGAAUACAUCGGAAUCUACUCUUUCGUGGGGGAUAACGUAGGGAAACUUACGCUAAUACCGCAUACGACCUACGGGUGAAAGCGGAGGACCUUCGGGCUUCGCGCGAUUGAAUGAGCCGAUGUCGGAUUAGCUAGUUGGCGGGGUAAAGGCCCACCAAGGCGACGAUCCGUAGCUGGUCUGAGAGGAUGAUCAGCCACACUGGAACUGAGACACGGUCCAGACUCCUACGGGAGGCAGCAGUGGGGAAUAUUGGACAAUGGGCGCAAGCCUGAUCCAGCCAUGCCGCGUGGGUGAAGAAGGCCUUCGGGUUGUAAAGCCCUUUUGUUGGGAAAGAAAAGCAGUCGGUUAAUACCCGAUUGUUCUGACGGUACCCAAAGAAUAAGCACCGGCUAACUUCGUGCCAGCAGCCGCGGUAAUACGAAGGGUGCAAGCGUUACUCGGAAUUACUGGGCGUAAAGCGUGCGUAGGUGGUGGUUUAAGUCUGUUGUGAAAGCCCUGGGCUCAACCUGGGAAUUGCAGUGGAUACUGGGUCACUAGAGUGUGGUAGAGGGUAGCGGAA